UACGAAGGGGGCUAGCGUUGUUCGGAAUCACUGGGCGUAAAGCGCACGUAGGCGGACUGAUAAGUCGGGGGUGAAAUCCCGGGGCUCAACCUCGGAAUUGCCUUCGAUACUGCCAGUCUCGAGUCCGGGAGAGGUGAGUGGAAUUCCUAGUGUAGAGGUGAAAUUCGUAGAUAUUAGGAAGAACACCAGUGGCGAAGGCGGCUCACUGGCCCGGUACUGACGCUGAGGUGCGAAAGCGUGGGGAGCAAACAGG
RNAcentral lists this ribosomal RNA (253 nucleotides) under uncultured bacterium. RNAcentral's name for it is "partial 16S ribosomal RNA". It matches the Rfam family "Bacterial small subunit ribosomal RNA", at positions 524 to 776 of the family's 1533-position model. The record is from RNAcentral.